This 74-nucleotide transfer RNA is filed under the name Psychrobacter sp. Its description in RNAcentral is "tRNA-Val". It matches the Rfam family "tRNA". Rfam says of the family: Transfer RNA (tRNA) molecules are approximately 80 nucleotides in length. RNAcentral also lists the same sequence under 5 other names. Lineage: Bacteria; Pseudomonadati; Pseudomonadota; Gammaproteobacteria; Moraxellales; Moraxellaceae. The record is from RNAcentral.
GGGCGGUUAGCUCAGCUGGUCAGAGCGCCUGCCUUACACGCAGGAGGUCGCAGGUUCGAGCCCUGCACCGCCCA